ACGCUGGCGGCAGGCUUAACUCAUGCAAGUCGAACGGUAACAGGGAUUAGCUUGCUAAUCUGCUGACGAGUGGCGGACGGGUGAGUAAUGCUUGGGAAUCUGGCUUAUGGAGGGGGAUAACUACGGGAAACUGUAGCUAAUACCGCGUAAAAUCUUCGGAUUAAAGGGUGGGACUUUCGAGCCACCUGCCAUAAGAUGAGCCCAAGUGGGAUUAGGUAGUUGGUUAGGUAAAGGCUGACCAAGCCGACGAUCUCUAGCUGGUCUGAGAGGAUGACCAGCCACACUGAAACUGAGACACGGUCCAGACUCCUACGGGAGGCAGCAGUGGGGAAUAUUGCACAAUGGGGGGAACCCUGAUGCAGCCAUGCCGCGUGAAUGAAGAAGGCCUUCGGGUUGUAAAGUUCUUUCGGUGACGAGGAAGGUUGAUAGGUUAAUAGCCUAUCAAAUUGACGUUAAUCACAGAAGAAGCACCGGCUAACUCCGUGCCAGCAGCCGCGGUAAUACGGGGGGUGCGAGCGUUAAUCGGAAUAACUGGGCGUAAAGGGCACGCAGGCGGUGACUUAAGUGAGAUGUGAAAGCCCCGAGCUUAACUUGGGAAUUGCAUUUCAUACUGGGUCGCUAGAGUACUUUAGGGAGGGGUAGAAUUCCACGUGUAGCGGUGAAAUGCGUAGAGAUGUGGAGGAAUACCGAAGGCGAAGGCAGCCCCUUGGGAAUGUACUGACGCUCAUGUGCGAAAGCGUGGGGAGCAAACAGGAUUAGAUACCCUGGUAGUCCACGCUGUAAACGAUGUCGAUUUGGGGAUUGGGCUUUGAGCUUGGUGCCCGUAGCUAACGUGAUAAAUCGACCGCCUGGGGAGUACGGCCGCAAGGUUAAAACUCAAAUGAAUUGACGGGGGCCCGCACAAGCGG
This 908-nucleotide ribosomal RNA is filed under the name uncultured bacterium. RNAcentral describes it as "bacterial SSU rRNA". It matches the Rfam family "Bacterial small subunit ribosomal RNA", at positions 33 to 932 of the family's 1533-position model. The record is from RNAcentral.